This 469-nucleotide ribosomal RNA is filed under the name uncultured bacterium. RNAcentral describes it as "partial 16S ribosomal RNA". It matches the Rfam family "Bacterial small subunit ribosomal RNA", at positions 28 to 508 of the family's 1533-position model. The record is from RNAcentral.
GACGAACGCUGGCGGCGUGCUUAACACAUGCAAGUCGAACGGAAAGGCCCUGCUUUUGUGGGGUGCUCGAGUGGCGAACGGGUGAGUAACACGUGAGUAACCUGCCCUUGACUUUGGGAUAACUUCAGGAAACUGGGGCUAAUACCGGAUAGGAGCUCCUGCUGCAUGGUGGGGGUUGGAAAGUUUCGGCGGUUGGGGAUGGACUCGCGGCUUAUCAGCUUGUUGGUGGGGUAGUGGCUUACCAAGGCUUUGACGGGUAGCCGGCCUGAGAGGGUGACCGGGCACAAUGGGACUGGGAUACGGGCCAGACUCCUACGGGAGGCAGCAGGGGGGAAUAUUGCACAAUGGGCGGAAGCCUGAUGCAGCAAAGCCGCGGGGGGGAUGACGGCCUUCGGGUUGUAAACCGCUUUAGCCUGGGAAGAAGCGGGAGGGACGGUAAUGGGGAAAGAAGCAACGGCUAAAUACGGGC